UACGGAGGUGGCAAGCGUUACUCGGAUUCAUUGGGUGUAAAGGGCGUGUAGGCGGUUACGUAAGUUGAAUGUGAAAUCCCACGGCUCAACCGUGGAACUGCAUUCAAAACUGCGCGACUUGGGUAUGGGAGAGGAGAAUGGAAUUCCCGGUGUAAGGGUGAAAUCUGUGGAUAUCGGGAGGAACACCAGUGGCGAAGGCGAUUCUCUGGCCCAUUACCGACGCUGAGAAGCGAAAGCGUGGGGAG
Molecule: ribosomal RNA, 245 nt
Filed under: uncultured bacterium
Lineage: Bacteria
Description: partial 16S ribosomal RNA
Rfam family: Bacterial small subunit ribosomal RNA
Source: RNAcentral